UGACAGAGAUACAAACAGAGGAAGUGAGUGAAAUGCAGUCGUGGAACAAACUGAAACUCCCUCCGUCAGUGGAAUCAAACAUGUCAAAAAAACACAUUGUAGGUGUGUUACCACCACCCUGUGGUGUCUGUGAAGGUUCUCAGUCAUCCAGGUGGAAAGAAAAGCGUCUGGACUUCUUUGAGUUGCUUGUAGAUGUAACCCUGGAGAGUUACUAAGGGUUUUAGUGUGUUAUGAGUGAUGUUAGUAUUUCGAGUUCACUGUUAAGUUUUAUUAAGUUAAAUUAUUUUGUUGAGAAUUAAUAAAAUAGAAGAUGUCUAUAAUGUCCUGAUGGUCCUGAAGUAUACAGGGGGAAGUACCGCCUCCUGCUGUUCACUGCGUAGCAGCUACGGAUAUCAGGAAAGAGGGAGAGGAAGAAAAGUGGAAAGCGUGGUUGCUUUUAUUCAGUCGGAUUGUACGGUGGAAAUAAACUAUCUGGGAAUUGUUGUUAACCAGAAAGGAGUUUUGUUACUGCUCGGAUUCUUCUGGUUGUGCUACAAUGCUGCACCAUCGCCAUUUUGAAGCUCCAGGAGAGCCUAUUUUGUUGGUUACUUUGGUAAGAAGUUAUCAUUGUCUAUGUUUUCGAAUAUUCUGUCGUUCUUUCUGUAUACUGGAAAGGUAGAAUGCAAAUUUGUUAGUAUGUAUGAACGAAACAUAAGAAAGGAUAUAUGUAUAAAUGACUGAAUAUAGAUUUUUGAAUGUUAUUCUGACUGUGUUAUACAGGUCAGGUUUUUUUGGGGAGUACAGUUCGGUGAUGAUCCAGUCCAAAGAUGGCGAGCCACCCCUCCAGGAUCCUUGAGAUGAUUGUUUUAAGAAGAGAACUAAAUUCUUUGGACGAGCCAUGAACUGUACAAAUUCUACUUAAGUGGUAGGACAGAUUUGCACUUCAUUCCUCCUUUGCACAUCCUGCAAGGAGAAUCCUCAUUGCUGGACUCACACUUAAGGGUGUUGGCUGACACGAGAGAGAGACUGAUUCAAAUCCCCCGGGGAUGUGUGUGUUUUGUUUAUUAUUU
Long non-coding RNA from Oreochromis niloticus (Nile tilapia), 1049 nucleotides. RefSeq lists it as uncharacterized. The transcript is spliced from 2 exons. NCBI's taxonomy places the organism in Eukaryota, Metazoa, Chordata, Actinopteri, Cichliformes, Cichlidae. The record is from RefSeq and is a predicted model, not a curated record.